RNAcentral lists this ribosomal RNA (792 nucleotides) under uncultured archaeon. Its description in RNAcentral is "bacterial SSU rRNA". It matches the Rfam family "Archaeal small subunit ribosomal RNA", at positions 85 to 879 of the family's 1478-position model. The record is from RNAcentral.
ACUGCUCAGUAACACGUGGAUAACAUGCCCUAGAGUGGAGGAUAAUCUCGGGAAAUUGAGGAUAAUACUCCAUAGAUCAUGAAUUCUGGAACGACUCAUGGUCGAAAGUUCCGGCGCUCUAGGAUUGGUCUGCGGCCUAUCAGGUAGUAGUGGGUGUAACGGACCCACUAGCCGACGACGGGUAUGGGCCUUGAGAGAGGGAGCCCAGAGAUGGAAUCUGAGACACGAUUCCAGGCCCUACGGGGCGCAGCAGUCGCGAAAACUUCACAAUGGAGGCAACUCCGAUGAGGGAAUUCCAAGUGCUAGCACAUUAGUGUUAGCUUUUCUUAAGCGUAGACAACUUAAGGAAUAAGGGCUGGGUAAGACGGGUGCCAGCCGCCGCGGUAAUACCCGCAGCUCAAGUGGUGGUCGAUUUUAUUGAGUCUAAAACGUUCGUAGCCGGUUCAUUAAAUCCUUGGGUAAAUCGAGAGGCUUAACCUUUYGAAUUCCGAGGAGACUGCCAAACUUGGGACCGGGAGAGGCGAGAGGUACUUYUGGGGUAGGGGUAAAAUCCUGUAAUCCUAGAAGGACCACCGGUGGCGAAGGCGUCUCGCUAGAACGGAUCCGACGGUGAGGGACGAAGCCCUGGGUCGCAAACGGGAUUAGAUACCCCGGUAGUCCAGGGUGUAAACGCUGCAGACUUGGUGUUGGGGGCCCUACGGGGGCGUUCAGUGCCGGAGAGAAGUUGUUAAGUCUGCUACUUGGGGAGUACGUCCGCAAGGAUGAAACUUAAAGGAAUUGGCGGGGGAGCAC